Molecule: long non-coding RNA, 2208 nt
Filed under: Salvia miltiorrhiza (redroot sage)
Lineage: Eukaryota; Viridiplantae; Streptophyta; Magnoliopsida; Lamiales; Lamiaceae
Description: long non-coding RNA (SMIL_LNC001494)
Source: RNAcentral
AAAUUUUUAAAUUUUUUUUUAUCAAAAUCUCAAUAAAUUGUAUGAAAAAAAAAAGAUUUAGAAUUCGACAGGUUACACACUGCAAAAAAAAAAGUUCUAUAACUAAUAAUGAUUCGAACUUCAAGCCUGUUGCAGUUAAUAUGUUGGGUACUGUCGGGGAAUUAUUCUCCAUUUACGAACUUAUCACCUAAAACCAUUAAAAAAAAAACAAACAAACAAUGAGAAUGCAUAGAUGCAUAGAGAAUGAUAAAAUAUAACACAAUAUCGUUUAUAUGUCAGAUUAUAAAAUAAAUUUAAGAAAAUGAGCAACCUCCAUAGUCCUUGUUUUUAACAUCGAUAUAUGAAUCAUGCAAAGUAUAGCAACAAUUAUAUUCUUCCUCCCUGGAAUUUUAAGUUUCAACGGGAUAACAUCAUGUUCAUCAAUUUUUCCUAUAGUAUUACAUGGAGUUGAUCAGUUUAUGCCUCUUCUACAUGUUGAUAAUUAUGCAAAAAAAGUAAACAUGGAAAAACCAAAAAUAAUCCAACGAAUUUAGCACAAAGAUACACAUAACUAAAAUAAUGAGCAAACACAUAUAGAAUUUAAGUUGUAUGAUUGAUUCUAGAACUUGCCGAUCCCUAGCAAAACUUCAUUCCCUAUCUCGAAAUCAGCCAACAACAAAAAUUCCACCAAGAAAUGUAGCAGCAACGGUAGCUACCAUCUGCAGGGGUUCAGAAACACCGGCUGGCAUGUUAAAUAACUUCUUAAUGAAUUCUCAACUGCAAAAGAAAGGGAGCGGAGGUGGAGGGACUAAGCGGGUCAGACUAUAGAAACAAUACCCAUAAACACAAAAACGUGCAGAGCUUCUACUUAAGGAAUGACCUCCACAUACUUGUACUUGCAUGAUCAUCAGCAUAUAGAAGAGGCAUAAACUGAUUAACUCCAUAUACUCCUAUAGGGAAAAUCAGCAACCUGUUGAUAACAAACAAAUUUUAUAUAUAGUAAUCAAAUUCACAGAAUACAAAUUCGAAAUAAAUGAAAAUCUGAAUUCAACAGACUCUAUGAUUUGCUGAUGUUAUAAAUCCAAAGAAGAAUUAAAGAAGUUCCAAGAUAGCUUGAGUUGUGAUUCAAGAAGAGCACUCACUUACAAUUGUAGAUGGAAGGAAGCAAAAAAUAUUCGAUUUGGGUGCUGCAAUAUGGAGAAAUACAGAGAGAAAGCAAUCCAAUGCAGAAAUACAGAGAGAAAAUACAGAGAGAAACCAAAACAGGGAAGUAAAGCAAUCAAAGUCAGCAUCGGUGAACACUUUCAAGUUUCAAAGUUUAUUUUCUCACCUUCGAUUCCUUCCUCGAUAAUUUCUAGAGAAUGAAUCGGAGGUGAAAGCUCGUUGCUUUUAUAGAUCAAAAUCUAGGGCUUAAUUUUCCUUUGAUAAAAUUAUUCCAAAAAAAAAAUCUUUCUAAAGUUUACCAUCAAUAAUUGUAUAUUUCCAAAAUUUGUUAUUUCUAAAAUUAAGCACUAAUCAUUCCAUAUUCAACCCAGUCAAGCAUAAUCUUUAAUACUUACCAUGUUAGAGCAAUGGUGGUUGAGGCGGCGCCGACGUUUUAGAGCAAUCCGUGCGUAUGUAAGAAUGGAUGCAAAGGUGAACUAAUGAAUUUAUCACUAAAAAUCCAGGUUUUGAAGUUUCCAUUGUUAAACAAUUACCUAAAUGAUUGUAUAUACUUUUAAUCUUUCCAAAAUUUGUUCUUUCUAAGUAGAGACCCAAUCAUUCUAUAUUUACAAUUGUACUUUCCUAAUAGGAUACUUACCAUGUCAGAGGAGGUGGUGGCAGCGGUAAUGGUGAUUUCUAGCUAGACGGCCGAGUGGCGGCCGGCGAAGAGAAGCAGACAGAGGCGAUUGCGGCCUUCCCGUAUUCAUUGAAAUAUCUCACUCGUCGAUGUUCACACGAAGAACGGGCCAUCGGCGACGGGGGAGAGAAUGAAUUUGGGGACGAAAUUGAGGCUUGAGCAACAGAUCGCGGCGGUGGGAGGGGCAGAUCGCAGCGGUGGGGGAAUGGGGAAGGAGGGUCGGGUGGGUCCGAGCGAAGCAGAUCGCGGACGGUGGAAGGGAGAGCCGGUGUGCAAAAAAGACAACGAAUGGAGAAUCUAUUGCAGCGGUGGGCGAAGGUGGAAGGAGAACCGGGUGGUCCGGCGAAGCAAAUCGCGGCGGUGGGAGGGGGCAGAUCGAGCAAUUGGGG